ACGAACGCUGGCGGCAGGCCUAACACAUGCAAGUCGAGCGAGAUCUUCGGGUCUAGCGGCGGCCGGGUGAGUAACGCGUGGGAAUAUGCCCUUCUCUGCGGAAUAGCCUCGGGAAACUGAGCGUAAUACCGCAUACGCCCUUUGGGGGAAAGAUUUAUCGGAGAAGGAUUAGCCCGCGUUGGAUUAGGUCGUUGGUGGGGUAACGGCCUACCAAGCCGACGAUCCAUGGCUGGUGUGAGAGGAUGCUCAGCCACACUGGGACUGAGACGCGGCCCAGACUCCUACGGGGGGCAGCAGUGGGGAAUCGUAGACGAUGGGGGCAACCCUGCUCGAGCCAUGCCGCGUGGGUGAUGAAGGCCUUAGGGUUGUAGAGCUCUUUCUGCUGGGAAGAUAAUGUCGGUACCAGCAGAAGAAGCCCCGGCUAACUCCGUG
Molecule: ribosomal RNA, 432 nt
Filed under: uncultured bacterium
Lineage: Bacteria
Description: partial 16S ribosomal RNA
Rfam family: Bacterial small subunit ribosomal RNA
Source: RNAcentral